RNAcentral lists this ribosomal RNA (274 nucleotides) under uncultured bacterium. RNAcentral's name for it is "partial 16S ribosomal RNA". It matches the Rfam family "Bacterial small subunit ribosomal RNA", at positions 523 to 796 of the family's 1533-position model. The record is from RNAcentral.
AUACGUAGGAUCCGAGCGUUGUCCGGAUUUACUGGGCGUAAAGGGUGCGUAGGCGGCGUGGUAAGUCUCAUGUGAAAUCUCCCGGCUCAACUGGGAGGGGUCAUGGGAUACUGCCAUGCUCGAGGGCAGUAGAGGAGAGCGGAAUUCCGGGAGUAGCGGUGAUAUGCGUAGAUACCCGGAGGAACACCCGUGGCGAAAGCGGCUCUCUAGGCUGUACCUGACGCUAAGGCACGAAAGCGUGGGGAGCAAACCGGAUUAGAAACCCCGGUAGUCC